RNAcentral lists this ribosomal RNA (1252 nucleotides) under Enterobacter sp. 130C. RNAcentral's name for it is "bacterial SSU rRNA". It matches the Rfam family "Bacterial small subunit ribosomal RNA", at positions 151 to 1394 of the family's 1533-position model. Lineage: Bacteria; Pseudomonadati; Pseudomonadota; Gammaproteobacteria; Enterobacterales; Enterobacteriaceae. The record is from RNAcentral.
UGGAAACGGUAGCUAAUACCGCAUAACGUCGCAAGACCAAAGAGGGGGACCUUCGGGCCUCUUGCCAUCAGAUGUGCCCAGAUGGGAUUAGCUAGUAGGUGGGGUAACGGCUCACCUAGGCGACGAUCCCUAGCUGGUCUGAGAGGAUGACCAGCCACACUGGAACUGAGACACGGUCCAGACUCCUACGGGAGGCAGCAGUGGGGAAUAUUGCACAAUGGGCGCAAGCCUGAUGCAGCCAUGCCGCGUGUAUGAAGAAGGCCUUCGGGUUGUAAAGUACUUUCAGCGGGGAGGAAGGUGUUGUGGUUAAUAACCACAGCAAUUGUCGUUACCCGCAGAAGAAGCACCGGCUAACUCCGUGCCAGCAGCCGCGGUAAUACGGAGGGUGCAAGCGUUAAUCGGAAUUACUGGGCGUAAAGCGCACGCAGGCGGGUCUGUCAAGUCGGAUGUGAAAUCCCCGGGCUCAACCUGGGAACUGCAUUCGAAACUGGCAGGCUGGAGUCUCGUAGAGGGAGGUAGAAUUCCAGGUGUAGCCGGUGAAAUGCGUAGAGAUCUGGGAGGAAUACCGGUGGCGAAGGCGGCCUCCUGGACGAAGACUGACGCUCAGGUGCGAAAGCGUGGGGGAGCAAACAGGAUUAGAUACCCUGGGUAGUCCACGCUGUAAACGAUGUCGAUUUGGAGGUUGUGCCCUUGAGGCGUGGCUUCCGGAGCUAACGCGUUAAAUCGACCGCCUGGGGAGUACGGCCGCAAGGUUAAAACUCAAAUGAAUUGACGGGGGCCCGCACAAGCGGUGGAGCAUGUGGUUUAAUUCGAUGCAACGCGAAGAACCUUACCUGGUCUUGACAUCCACAGAAGUUUCCAGAGAUGGGAAUGUGCCUUCGGGAACUGUGAGACAGGUGCUGCAUGGCUGUCGUCAGCUCGUGUUGUGAAAUGUUGGGUUAAGUCCCGCAACGAGCGCAACCCUUAUCCUUUGUUGCCAGCGGUCCGGCCGGGAACUCAAAGGAGACUGCCAGUGAUAAACUGGAGGAAGGUGGGGAUGACGUCAAGUCAUCAUGGCCCUUACGACCAGGGCUACACACGUGCUACAAUGGCGCAUACAAAGAGAAGCGACCUCGCGAGAGCAAGCGGACCUCAUAAAGUGCGUCGUAGUCCGGAUUGGAGUCUGCAACUCGACUCCAUGAAGUCGGAAUCGCUAGUAAUCGUGGAUCAGAAUGCCACGGUGAAUACGUUCCCGGGCCUUGUACACACCGCC